Molecule: ribosomal RNA, 245 nt
Filed under: uncultured Prevotella sp.
Lineage: Bacteria; Pseudomonadati; Bacteroidota; Bacteroidia; Bacteroidales; Prevotellaceae
Description: partial 16S ribosomal RNA
Rfam family: Bacterial small subunit ribosomal RNA
Source: RNAcentral
UACGGAAGGUCCGGGCGUUAUCCGGAUUUAUUGGGUUUAAAGGGAGCGCAGGCGGGAGGCUAAGCGUGACGUGAAAUGUGCCGGCUCAACCGGCGAGCUGCGUCGCGAACUGGUUUCCUUGAGUGGGUUCGACGUAGGCGGAAUUCGUGGUGUAGCGGUGAAAUGCUUAGAUAUCACGAAGAACCCCGAUUGCGAAGGCAGCCUACGAGGCCUUUACUGACGCUAAUGCUCGAAGGUGCGGGUAU